Molecule: ribosomal RNA, 150 nt
Filed under: Blakeslea trispora
Lineage: Eukaryota; Fungi; Mucoromycota; Mucoromycetes; Mucorales; Choanephoraceae
Also listed under: 2 other names
Description: 5.8S ribosomal RNA
Rfam family: 5.8S ribosomal RNA
About the family: 5.8S ribosomal RNA (5.8S rRNA) is a component of the large subunit of the eukaryotic ribosome.
Source: RNAcentral
AACUUUUAACAACGGAUCUCUUGGCUUUUGCAUCGAUGAAGAACGUAGCAAAUUGCGAUAACUAGUGUGAAUUGCAAAUUCAGUGAAUCAUCGAGUCUUUGAACGCAUCUUGCGCUCAUUGGUAUUCCAGUGAGCACGCCUGUUUCAGUA